CAUGCNNNNNNAGCGAUGGAUUAGAGCUUGCUCUUAUGAAGUUAGCGGCGGACGGGUGAGUAACACGUGGGUAACCUGCCCAUAAGACUGGGAUAACUCCGGGAAACCGGGGCUAAUACCGGAUAACAUUUUGAACCGCAUGGUUCGAAAUUGAAAGGCGGCUUCGGCUGUCACUUAUGGAUGGACCCGCGUCGCAUUAGCUAGUUGGUGAGGUAACGGCUCACCAAGGCAACGAUGCGUAGCCGACCUGAGAGGGUGAUCGGCCACACUGGGACUGAGACACGGCCCAGACUCCUACGGGAGGCAGCAGUAGGGAAUCUUCCGCAAUGGACGAAAGUCUGACGGAGCAACGCCGCGUGAGUGAUGAAGGCUUUCGGGUCGUAAAACUCUGUUGUUAGGGAAGAACAAGUGCUAGUUGAAUAAGCUGGCACCUUGACGGUACCUAACCAGAAAGCCACGGCUAACUACGUGCCAGCAGCCGCGGUAAUACGUAGGUGGCAAGCGUUAUCCGGAAUUAUUGGGCGUAAAGCGCGCGCAGGUGGUUUCUUAAGUCUGAUGUGAAAGCCCACGGCUCAACCGUGGAGGGUCANUGGAAACUGGGNNA
Molecule: ribosomal RNA, 604 nt
Filed under: Bacillus sp. BASZUB0801
Lineage: Bacteria; Bacillati; Bacillota; Bacilli; Caryophanales; Bacillaceae
Description: bacterial SSU rRNA
Rfam family: Bacterial small subunit ribosomal RNA
Source: RNAcentral